AGGUUCCUCGGGAUCGUAUCUCAGAGACAAAUCUCUGAAUUCGAUUUUCCCUAGACUUGGCCAUUCUCGCGGAGGCUUAUUUUCCGGUGUACUUUCCAGGGGUGGCUCGCUUUCCAGAUUACUGUACUCUACGACUCUCUCGACAGAAGUCAUCUGGUUUUCCAUCUCCGUCAACAUUCGCAUUCCCCAUUGCAGCAACUGCGUGAGUCCCAUGCAUUGAGUGAUCACCAAUCCAACGGUACCUCCAAAUGUGUCCUGAUCGAGAACAAGGAAACUGAAGAUGACGAGAGUGACGUAGAUCACGCUUGUCAAGUCCACAUAAUAUCCAAAACAACGGGCUCCUGAAAUAAACGUGAACCAGGCCGAAGAAUGCAGGUUCUGAUGAUUGUCGAAUUCUUCAGCAAGAAUGGUCUCCGCAUGAAAUGCGCGAAUCGUUGGUAGUCCAUUCAAUGUAGCGCUAAGAUGUGCAAAUACUGGAGAGCGGGCUAGAAAGUCAGGUAUAAAGUUUAUCGCCUAAUGGAAAUAUUUCAACAAACUCUGGUUCUCGUUCAACUCUAGAUCGAACAAUUUUCUGAACCUCUGAACUCACUCAUUCCUUCCAGACGUUUUAUGCUUCUGCUGGUGCGCAUGUAGAACAUCCGCACAAAGUACAAUACAACUAUGAUGAAAAGACUUGGUAGCGUGAGCAAAGGAUUGGCCAUAGCUAUGACGAUAGAAGUGCCACCGAACGUCAAACCCACCUGAACCACUUGUAACAUAUUUAUUGGCAGCAAUUCAUCGACACCUCCCAUGUCCUUCGAAAAUCUGAAGAAUUUCAUAGGCUCGAGAUGGUAUUCCAAAUUCUGACCACGUCCAUGUCAUACGUAC
Molecule: unclassified non-coding RNA, 867 nt
Filed under: Athalia rosae (coleseed sawfly)
Lineage: Eukaryota; Metazoa; Arthropoda; Insecta; Hymenoptera; Athaliidae
Description: misc RNA ENSAEAG00005009518.1
Source: RNAcentral